This 85-nucleotide transfer RNA is filed under the name Candidatus Azambacteria bacterium. Its description in RNAcentral is "tRNA-Ser". It matches the Rfam family "tRNA". From Rfam's summary of the family: Transfer RNA (tRNA) molecules are approximately 80 nucleotides in length. Lineage: Bacteria; Candidatus Azamiibacteriota. The record is from RNAcentral.
GGAGGCGUCGCAUAGUGGCUUAGUGCACCGUCUUGGAAAGACGGCAUACCGCAAGGUAUCAGAGGUUCAAAUCCUCUCGCCUCCG